This is a long non-coding RNA of Quercus lobata, 515 nucleotides long. RefSeq lists it as uncharacterized. Lineage: Eukaryota; Viridiplantae; Streptophyta; Magnoliopsida; Fagales; Fagaceae. The transcript is spliced from 4 exons. The record is from RefSeq and is a predicted model, not a curated record.
AACUAGAAAAGUGAGUAUUUUUUUCAGUCUACGAUGGUGAGAUUUUUUGUCAAAACACCAAGUACGAUACCUCUGAGUUUGACCAUAAUAAGCCUCUGCUCAUGGCCAUGGCCAUAGCCAUCAAGGGACAGAUUUACGAUGAGCUCAGCAGAAACUUAAUUGGAGUGUGAUAGUUAGUUUUAGAGAGGAAGGAAGAAGUGAGGACAAGUCUGAAGUAUUGGUGGCUAUGUUGAAGGAAGCAGUGGAUUUGUGACUGAACUGUGCUGGUAGAGAUAUAAUAGAAAUUCAGCUUUCAAUUUAAGCAAAGCUAUGAUGGAAUUACUAUGAAUGUUCUUUGAUAGUGUUUUUCACGUUCCUUGCAUGUGCAUCAAAACUAGUAAUACAUAAAAAGAGAGACUUUUGCCUUGUGUGUAUUGUAAUAGAAAGGCAGUAGAAGGGCAAAAUGAUAGAGGAGAAGAAGAAGAAAAGAGGGAAACUGGCAACAGAAAUUCAGUGAUUAUUAUCUGCUUCAUCAC